This 466-nucleotide ribosomal RNA is filed under the name uncultured bacterium. Its description in RNAcentral is "bacterial SSU rRNA". It matches the Rfam family "Bacterial small subunit ribosomal RNA", at positions 198 to 645 of the family's 1533-position model. The record is from RNAcentral.
GGAGGAAAGUAGGGGAUCGAAAGACCUUAUGCUUUUGGAGCGGCCGAUGUCUGAUUAGCUAGUUGGUAAGGUAAUGGCUUACCAAGGCAACGAUCAGUAGUUGGUCUGAGAGGACGACCAGCCACACUGGGACUGAGACACGGCCCAGACUCCUACGGGAGGCAGCAGUGGGGAAUUUUGGACAAUGGGCGCAAGCCUGAUCCAGCAAUGCCGCGUGAGUGAAGAAGGCCUUCGGGUUGUAAAGCUCUUUCAGUUGAGAAGAAAAGAUUGUGACUAAUAAUUGCAAUUCAUGACGGUAUCAACAGAAGAAGCACCGGCUAACUACGUGCCAGCAGCCGCGGUAAUACGUAGGGUGCGAGCGUUAAUCGGAAUUACUGGGCGUAAAGGGUGCGCAGGCGGUUCUGUAAGUCAGAUGUGAAAUCCCCGGGCUUAACCUGGGAACUGCGUUUGAAACUACAAGGCUAGA